RNAcentral lists this ribosomal RNA (470 nucleotides) under uncultured Pezizales. Its description in RNAcentral is "eukaryotic LSU rRNA". The stretch from base 86 to 239 matches the Rfam family "5.8S ribosomal RNA". The record is from RNAcentral. Lineage: Eukaryota; Fungi; Ascomycota; Pezizomycetes; Pezizales.
AUUUUCUAGGGAGCUGCCGGUGGAUAGAACCUAUAAAUUCUGUUUGUAAAACCUAUGUCUGAUUUAAAUAUUGUAAUGAUAUAAAAACUUUCAACAACGGAUCUCUAGGCUCUUGCAUCGAUGAAGAACGCAGUGAAAUGCGAUAAGUAAUGUGAAUUGCAGAAUCUCGUGAAUCAUCGAAUCUUUGAACGCACAUUGCGCUCUAUGGUAUUCCAUAGAGCAUGCCUGUCUGAGCGUCAGCUCCCUCACCCUCAAACCUUUAUAAAAAAAGGUUUGGAUAUUGAAAAGGUAAUUGAAUAAGUUACCUUUCAAAAAUAUAGAGGCAGUAUUAUUACAACCUACAUGAAAAUGUGAUAGUUAUAUUAUAUACCAUUUCUCUUAGGGAGUAUAUUACUUGCCUUAUUUAACCCACUGAAAGAAUCAAAUUCAUGGGUGACCUCAGAUCAGGUAGGGAUACCCGCUGAACUUAA